Homarus americanus (American lobster) is the source of this 1951-nucleotide long non-coding RNA. RefSeq lists it as uncharacterized. The record is from RefSeq and is a predicted model, not a curated record. Lineage: Eukaryota; Metazoa; Arthropoda; Malacostraca; Decapoda; Nephropidae. The transcript is spliced from 4 exons.
AUGAAGCAAGACGUGUGUGUGUGUGUGUGUAUGUGUGUGUGUGUGUGUGUUUUACCAUCAUACAGUAGUUGUGACAGAGGCAGUAAAGAGGUCGGAUUGUGGUAGUAGUAGUGGUGGUAGUUGUGGUUGUAGGAUGGAGGUGGUUGUAGUGGUGAAAAUACUCUGUUUAUUAAGUGUUUCAUACACCGCAUCUGCUGAGCAUAACUGCUCCAAGUGGGUGACAACAGGAGUGGAUGAUACCUGGUCAGGACACCAAUUUGAAGCGCCAGUACCUACUUACCUGUACUUUCGAGGGCAGGAAAGUGAGGCAGUAACUAAUCUACAUAUAUGGUAUUAUAAGAAUCACUCAGAACAUUUCCUCACCACUCAGAAGUUAAUUUAUAAGAUCUCAGGUAAUCAGGUCUUUCACAUGGCUACAAUCAGAUCACAGAACCACCACAACACGACAAGAGCCCAGCUGUUUAUCAAUCCUCAACACCAAUUACUCCUGGGUCAAGGGUCGUUACAUAGUUUGAUCGUAACAAGCAAUUCGACUGUCUUAUGGCGAGGCUGUUACCAACCGGAUCUAUAUGGUACAAGCCCAGGUGCUACAUGCACAGGUACAAGCCCAGGUACUACAUGCACAGGUACAAGCCCAGGUACUACAUGCACAGGUACAAGCCCAGGUACUACAUGCACAGGUACAAGCCCAGGUACUACAUGCACAGGUACAAGCCCAGGUACUACAUGCACAGGUACAAGCCCAGGUACUACAUGCACAGGUACAAGUUUAUCAUUAGCCAAUAUCACAGUCGAGUUGGCAAUCUCAUUUGUAAUAAUUGUCAUUGUUUAGCCUGAAUGAUUUACUACAAGAAAUACCUGUAGGUGAGUUGUUAUUAUUAUUAUUGUUAUUAUUAUUAUUAUUGUUGUUGGUGAAAGUGACAAGAGAAAGUUGCUGAUUUAUGACGUCAUCACUUAAGGGUACCAAGUGCUCAUGGUGUAGUGGGUCUAACACACAGAAGGUCCCUGGUGAGCACAAGAGUUCUAUUAUUGUUUCUCUUGGAUUCUUUAUCUCUCUCUCUAACUAUCUAUCUAUCUUUCUGUCUUUCUCUGUCUUCUCGCUCUCUAUUUAUAUAUCUAUCUCAAUAUCUCUCUUUCUCUCGCUUUCUUUCAUUCUUUAUUUCUAUCAGUUUCCGUGUGAAGGAAUACAAGUAUUUCCGUUUUCUUUGAUCUACAUAACUUGGUAUUAAAGAAAAUGUGUCUUCCUCUAUUAUAAAUAUAUGCAGGAGUAACUAACCUAUUCCUUUAAAAUAAUAAUUAUUAAAUUUCCCCAUUAUUGAUUACCAUGAACACGUAAUAAUAAUACUAAAUUCCUCGGAAAAUUUUGUUGAUGAGAAACUUAACUGGAGAAACCACAUACAAGCCAUUCACAGUAAAAUCAAUGAACAGUGACGUAUCAUGUAUCACAGUCGACAGUCACUCACUCUCACAGCAAUGAAAGAAAUCUAUCAAUAACUUGCUUGACAAUAAUUACUUCCAGUUCCGGAAUAAUCAGAGAUACAACUUAAGGCCCCCAGAGCUACUAAGACCACCCCCCAUGCGCUCCUCUCAGUCCCAGACCUCCAUAAAACAUCACGGUGUGAAGGUGUGGAACAACUUGCCCCCACCCACCCCAGCAAAGACUAGGCUCCCUUCCUUUAGAUCAUCUCUAACAAAAUAUCUAUUGUCUAAGUAUUAAUAUUUCUUGUAACACCUACUAUAUUUACAGUACCUGCUUUUAUUGUACCACCAAAUCCGUUUUAUCGGAAAUUAUCAUGUAAAUAAAUAAGUAAUUACCAUGGCAAUAAACAUAAUUGCCAACUAGACAUAAUCCUGACAGCUCUGUCCUCAUGUUCAACCAUAUUACUGUACGACCCAGGAUGUACUGCUCCCCCAUUAUACUUAGGUUUUUAAAUUCCACUCUAAUAUAUAU